Molecule: ribosomal RNA, 253 nt
Filed under: uncultured bacterium
Lineage: Bacteria
Description: partial 16S ribosomal RNA
Rfam family: Bacterial small subunit ribosomal RNA
Source: RNAcentral
UACGUAGGGGGCUAGCGUUGUCCGGAAUCAUUGGGCGUAAAGCGCGUGUAGGCGGUCCGGUAAGUCCGCUGUGAAAGUCGAGGGCUCAACCCUCGAAUGCCGGUGGAUACUGUCGGGCUAGAGUGCGGAAGAGGCGAGUGGAAUUCCUGGUGUAGCGGUGAAAUGCGCAGAUAUCAGGAGGAACACCUAUUGCGAAGGCAGCUCGCUGGGACGCUACUGACGCUGAGACGCGAAAGCGUGGGGAGCAAACAGG